ACCCUUUUAAGCUAUAACAUAAAAACAACUCACUAAUGUCUCUUAAAAAUCUUAUUAAGAAAUAAUGUAAAUGAAACGCCAAGGUAAUCUCUACACCAUUCAAAUACCUGCGGAAAGUAAGUGUUUCCCAAUGCAAAUCCAGCAACAAGUCCACCGCCAUAUCCAAUCAGAAGAACAGUCCAGUCUAAUUCAAAGAAAGAUUCCGAGUCGUCAUCAUCAACAUCAGAAGUAGAAGGCCCUCCAUGAUCUAUACACUUCUUCAACAACUGAUCCCCAUACAAACCUUGGUUACCCUCAAAUGAAUCAUCUUUGAAUGUAGAAAACUGAUUAUUUUGUGGUAUAGGACCUGUGAGAUUGUUAAAGGACACAUUUAAGUACUCCAAAAAGGUGAUUUCUGCCAACUGUUGGGGAAUUUUUCCUGAAAGACUGUUGAGAGAAAGAUCUAGUGCUUCAAGGUUUGAAAGAUUCCCUAAGGAAGAUGGUAUGCUGCCAAUAAGGUGGUUAUUUGACAAGUUGAGUAAAACAAGUCCCUUCAACUCGCCUAUAACAUGUGGUAUCUCUCCACUGAUUUUGUUGCUUGAAAUAUCAAUGGCUAUUAAGCUGUAGAAAUUUUGAAGCUUCUCAUAAACCCUUGCAAACCCUUUGUUUGACAUUGUGAAUGUAUAAAACAUAUUUUGUGUUGUAUGAAUUGGUCCUGCACUGUUCAAUGUCGAGUAAGAUUCAUACUGUAAUUGACUUGUGUUGGUAGUUUUCAUUGUUUUCCAUCCUUGGAUCAUUUCUGAUGGAAAACUUCCAGAGAAUUCAUUGUGAGAAAGGUCAAUGAUGUGAAGCUUGGGAAAUGUGCAUGUCAUGUUGCCAGAGCACCUAAUGUCUCCAUGGAAUGCAUUGUUACUUAAAGACAAUACCUUCAACUCGGGUAAAUCUUUCACCCUGCAGAUUGUUGUUGUUGAAAUCAAUCAUCUGAAGGGAACUUCCUAUCAUGUAUGUUUGAGGAAUGAGGCCAGACAAUUUAUUCCCUUUUAGCAUUAUAUUUUCUAAAGAUUGGCUAAAGUUACCCAGACAUGAAGGAAUGUUGCCGCUUAAGUUGUUGAUCGAUAAAUCAAGAGUCACGAGUGAUUUGAGAUUGCAUAUGGAUGGGGGUAUUUCUCCUGUCAAUGAAUUGUGGGAAACAAGUAAGCUUAUUAGACUUGCUUUUUUCCACAACCAAUUGGGCAGCAAUGUCAUAUUGUUGUUUGACAACAUAAGAAAUUCCAGAUCAGGCAUGUCUCUUAUAAAUGUUGGAAUCUCAACUAAAUUGCAUGAAGCCAAUUGUAAGACUCGAAUUUGAGAAUCGGUCCUAUGGGAAGAACUUUUUCCACUAUACAAUGACAAUUUGUUGAAUGAUAAAUCUAGAAAAACUAGCUUUUUGAGGUUCAGAAAUGUGUCAAGCUCUAGCUUUCCAUGCAAAAAAUUAGAGCGUAGGCUCAAGUAAGCUAAAUUUGCUAGAUUCAUUAUCCAUGAUGGAAUUUCACCCUUUAUAUUGCUAUUUGUUGCACCUAGAAGUUCUAGUUGGGUGAGAUUUGCAAAAGAUAAUGGGAUGUCACUGCCAAUAUUGACUGAGGAUAUAUCCAAGGAAGUUAAUGAUGAGAGCUUACCGACCCAUGAGAUGGUCUCAAUAGUAAAUUCAUUCCAAGCAACACUCAACAUGCUUAGUUGGGUAAUAUUUGCCAAGGAUGCAGAAGGGUCACCCCUAAAUUUGUUAUUAUCAAGGUAUAUCCCCCUGAGUUGUGUGAGGUUGCCAAGUGAAGUAGGAAUAUUUCCAAAAAAAUGGCAUUCUGGAAUUGAUAGAAUAACUAAAGAAUUAAGCUUUCCAAUGGAUACUGGCAGUGCACCAGAGAAACCUGUAUGAUCAAGUGCUAACCUGGUGAGUGAACUAGACUGAAACUCAGGCAAACUACCAUUGAGAUUUGGAUUAUAUCUCAAAUCCAGAAGUUCCAAGUUUGGAAGAUGAAAUACUCCAACUGGAAACUCUCCAUACAAUUCAGAAUUGUAUAGAGACAGUGCUUUCAACGAAGUUAGAUUUGUGAGUGUAUCUGGUAAAGUAGAUGAAAUUGUUACAUGACUAAGAUGAAGGGUCUCAAGUUUUGUUGAGUUUUGAAUUAUGCUUUUGAGACUGGAUAAUUUGAGUUGCAGCAGAUUGUCUGUAGCUCUGAAGCCUAGAUCAAGAGACAACAACUUGGACAACUGUGAAACUUGUGGUGGAAUUUCUCCAGAAAAGAAGCUCAGGGAAAGGUUCAGAUGUUUUAAUUGUGAAAGCUCACCUAUCUUGGAUGGGAUUUGAGAGUAAUUGAAGUCAUUGUCAGAAAGAUCAAGAACUCGAAGGUGCACAAGGCGAAAGAGACUGCUAUUUGCAUCCAUUGUACCAUAGAGUUGGCUGCUACUAAGAUCAAUGUGAAUCACAUGGUCUGUGUGCUCAUGACAUUUAAUGCCAUCCCAUGAGCAACAAUCUGUGCUGGAAUUCCAAGAUGAUGUUUUAGGAUAACCAAGAAGAUCAUCAGAGGCUAAGUUAUUGAUGACAAAGCCUUCCUUAAAUUGCAACAAGGCAUGGCUUUCAUAUUGAUGACACUUUGGCUGAAUUUGAGGAAAACAUGUAGUAAAUGUGAAAGUGAAAAGUGAAUACAGGAAAAGAAAUUUUAGUAACAAAGCAAGAGACCUGACAAACACCAUUGUAUAUUUUAAUAUUUUGAACUGAAUGUUUUGGAUGAAAUGCUAGACACAUAGUAAGUGAUUCUUAUAGUAAAUGAAAAUGUUUUGUAGUGAAUUUGAUUAUCAUUGACCGUGCAUUUUGGUUUAGGACUAACAUCAUAAGUCUAUAUCUUGGCUCAGCCCAUUGGAGAGGCUAACUUGAUCAACUCCAAAAAUACAAGACUUUGAUGUAACAUAAUAUAAUCUCUAAUCAAAUUAUGUGGGCCAAUCCAAUACACAAGGUCUAUUUGAUGUUUUAUCAUGUAGUGAGGCUUUCUUAUCUUCCACAAAUUUCAUUUUCUGUCCAUUUAUGGUUUUUGCCUUCUAAUUUCAGUACAUUUGUCUCGAUUGUUUGACUCAGCAAUUUCCUCUAAGUUUCUUGCUACUUGCAUCUUUGGAAAACAAUUUAAUAUUUAGACUUAGUCAAUUGUUCCAGUGGAAUUUUAUUAUCUCAACAUUUUAUUAUUUGGUUGUAUGCAUAGAACUUUAAUCUAGAACUGAGUAUCCAUUUAAGAGCUUGCACAAAAAUAUUGAAUAUAAUUUUAAAAAGUUAAGCAUGCGUAAUUGAAAAAACUUCAGUUUUAUAUAAUAUGUUCAGUAGUAAAAACUUCAGUUUUAUCUUGAUCUUGUCAAAAUGCAGUUUUAUCUGUCAUUGUUUAGAAUCAUCCAUUAAAAUUAUAUAAUAAAAAAAUUUGUACAGUCCUAAUGUAUACUUUUGAAAUUUAACAAGUCUUUUCUUUAUGUUAAGGUCAGUCUUCUAGAAGUACAGGUUAAGGUCAUAUAACAACACUUAAAUCAAAAAUAAGAAAAAUAAUAUAGUUGUAGCAUAUUACACUGACUUGGAUAAUAAUAACAACAAAUUUACCAACCUGAGAAACACAAUCUACAAGGUCUAAAGAAGCAUACAAAUUGAAAGAGGAAAAACACAGUUUAUCUAACUAUGUAUUAACCUAACAUAUCACACAACUGAGAUGCAUAUCAUAGCUGAUCAAUGUCCUCACAGACAGCAAGUUCCUCAUGACCAUAUGGAUAGCUGUUUAAAAUAAGUCAACCAUUAGUAAAAGAAGUGUCAAAAAGCAGUAUAUUGAUUUUAUUUUUCUUUUUUUAAAAAUAUAUAGCUGAAAGAUUAGAGCUUACAACAAACCGAAGUUGGAGUACAAUUUCCUACGGUCAUCUUCGGUAAGCUCAGUACCAAUGCUGCACAAAGCGGAAACCAUGAGAUGCUAGUUAUGUGGAUGUCCAGAUAAACAAAAAGAUUAUACAAAGACUGGUUAGUAAUUUUUACCUAGUUAUGGUAAUAUUAACAGCCCUUCAAUCAGCCUCAAAAGCUAGAAUGUCGGACAUUAUCUCAGCAGUAGCACCACCAAGUUUCUGUUUGUGAAUAAAAUUUAAGUUGAUGAAAUUCGGGUUAGAUGAUUUACCUCUGAUGUAAUGCACUCAGAGAAGUAUGGAGCCAGAGGAGUGUCAACAAGAACCAGCCUGUAAAGCUCCCGCAUAUUCUGAGCAACUGCCAGAGUUGCAAUGCUGAGGAGAAUCCCACCGAAAAGAAGAAAAAACAGAAGUAAAAUCAAUAUUCUAUGUGCCGUAACUAAGGUCUCUUUCUAGGCUAAAAAAAGUUCAAUAUAUAUAGGCUCAAAGUCUUUCUAGUUUGGUAAUAGAGAAAAAAAAGAUAUGUAGUUUGAUGAAUGUCUCUUUCUUUGCAUUCCCCUCAAUCACAAUGCUUUCAAACAUCCGUAACUAAGGUUGACUUCAGCCCUGGUGUUAGGAACAAGUACUUGAGCUUUGAAAUCAACUUUUAUUGGAUUGCUUCUUCAAAAAAAAAACUUUUAAUGGAUUGGAAGAACUAAAAAGAAACUGAUGCAAUUCAAAAGGUAAAACGAAUUUCAAAAUCAGCAUUACAAAAAGUCAUCAUAAUGUAUAUACCUAGGACUCAGUAGAAAUUUAAAAAUUGAUUGAAUUUUUGAAAUAAUUAAAAGACUAGACUUGUGGGUUGUCUCCCAAGAAACGCGUGUUUAACAUCUCGAGCUUGACGAACCAACACUCUUGUCAGGGUGGAUAUUUAAACAUGUAAUCAACAAUGCUAUUCUUUUUCUUCUUUGUGAGAAGAAUGUUGAUACACUUUGCAUAAGGUAUUAGUCUCACUUGUUCAAAGUUUAUGAACCUUUUCCACCUAUUUUUCCAUUCGUUCUUUCUCUUCUAUGGUGUUUUGUUUUAAGAGAUGUGAUUGAUGCUUGUCCACACCUUAUCUUUCUCCAAAUGAUAGAAUUCACCGGUCACCUCAAUCUGAAUCCAGCCCUUGUCAGUUGUUUUUUAUCACCGAGAAUCAUCAUCAUUGAAUUGCAUUGUGUCGAACACAUUGUUGGAUACUUGCUCAUCAAAUUCCGCUUUUGCUUUCAAAUUCAACUAGUUUUGAUUGUAAACCUAAAGAGAUCAAUCUACUUUGUUUGAUUUCUCAUCACUAUCAGAUUCAAACCAGGUAGCCAUUUACCUAUUUUUCUUCUUCUCAUGUUCAUGCACCAAAGAUUAAUUUUUUAUUUUAAUGGUUAUUUACUACUUUAUUCAAAGGUAUAUAAGUUGCUAAAUUGUAUUUUGUUUCACAUUGCAGUUGAUUAUAACUAAACAUUUGUAUUCUUGGUAUCUGAAAAGCAGAUUCAUCUUUGUCUGUAUUAGUUAUCCAUUAUUGCAUUUGUUUGUCACUUAAGUUGUUUUUUUUUGCUCUAAAGUCAACUUCCAUAAAAAAUGCUUCAUUUUGCUACCAUAGUAUACAUCAUAUAAUCACUUUUUUUUUUCUGCAAUGCCACCAGCCCAAAGACCUAACAGGUCACAUUUUUCCGCAUCACCAAAACUACUUUAUUUCAUACCAACAACAAUUAGUAUACAUACAAAGCAUACUCUUAGGCUUUGUUUGCGAGUUUUGAGGGGAAGGAAAGGAAAGGCUAAGGAGGGGAAGGGAAGGAAAGGGAGGGAAGGGAGAAAGGAGGGAAAACCUUCCCCUUGUUUGGGAGUUAAAAAGCCAACAAGGAAAGGAGAUGGAGGACUUAUGUUAUAAUUUUACUAUUUUACCCUUUUUCCUCUUAAAAUCAAUAUAUUGUUAUACUUCGUAAUUUAACUUUUAAUUUAUUCAAAACAACUUAUCGCAUGAAAAACAAAUUAUUAAGAUCUAUUUUAAAAAACAACUUAUUUAUAAAAAAAAAAAAAAAAAAAAAAAACUUAUUACAAUCACUUUUUAAAAACAACUUACUUAUACAAAACAACUUAUUACGACCUCUUUUUAAAAAUAGCUUAUCUUAUGAAAAACAAAUUAUUAAGAUCUUUUUUUAAAAAACAACUUAUUCAAAAUAGCUAAUUUAUACAAAACAGCUUAUUAUGACCUCUUUUCAGAAAAACAGCUUAUUCAAAACAGCUUAAUACAAUCUCUUAUUCAAAAACAACUUAUCCAAAAUAGUUUAUCUAUAUAAAACAGCUUAUUACGACCUCUUUUCAAAAAACAACUUGUUCAAAACAGCUUAUUUAUACAAAACAACUUAUUCAAAACAGCUUAAUACGAUCUCUUUUUCAAAAACAGCUUAUUCAAAACAGCUUAUUUAUACAAAAUAGCUUAUUACGACCUCAUUUUCAAAAACCGCUUAUUCAAAACAACUUAUUUAUACAAAACAGCUUAUUACGACAUCAUUUUCAAAAACAGCUUAUUCAAAACAGCUUAUUUAUACAAAACAGCUUAUUAUGACCUCAUUUUUAAAAAUCGCUUAUUCAAAACAACUUAUUUAUACAAAACAGCUUAAUAUGACCUCAUUUUCAAAAACAGCUUAUUCAAAACAACUUAUUAUGCAAAACAGCUUAAUACAAUCUCUUUUACUAAAACAGCUUAUUCAAAAUAGCUUAUUUAUAUAAAACAGCUUAUUACGACCUCAUUUUCAAAAACCGCUUAUUCAAAACAACUUAUUUAUACAAAACAGCUUAUUACGACCUCUUUUUCAAAAACAGCUUAUUUAUACAAAACAGCUUAAUAUGAUCUCUUUUUCAAAAACAGCUUAUUCAAAACAGCUUAUUUGUACAAAAUAGCUUAAUACGACAUCAUUUUCAAAAACCGCUUAUUCAAAACAACUUAUUUAUACAAAACAUCUUAAUAUGACUUCAUUUUACAAAAUAGCUUAUUCAAAACAACUUAUUUAUGCAAAACAGCUUAAUACGACCUCAUUUUCAAAAACGGCUUAUUCAAAACAGCUUAUUUAUGCAAAACAGCUUAAUACGAUCUCUUUUUCAAAAACAGCUUAUUUAUACAAAACAGCUUAUUACGACCUCAAUUUCAAAAAUCGCUUCUUUAAAACAAUUUAUUUAUACAAAACAGCUUAAUACGACAUCAUUUUCAAAAAUCGCUUAUUCGAAACAACUUAUUUAUACAAAACAGCUUAUUACGACCUCAUUUUCAAAAAUCGCUUAUUCAAAACAACUUAUUUAUACAAAACUGUUUAUAACGACCUCAUUUCAAAAACCUCUUAUUCAAAACAAUUUAUUUAUGCAAAACAACUUAUUAUGUCCUCUUUUCAAAAAAUAACUUAUUCAAAACAGCUUAUUUAUGCAAAACCGCUUAUUACGAUCUCUUUUUUAAAAACAACUUAUUCAAAAAAACUUAUUUAUGCAAAACAACUUAUUAUGAUCUCUUUUUCAAAAACAACUUAUUCAAAACAACUUAUUUAUUCAAAACUUUUUUUGUAAAAAUAAGUUAUUUUGAAUAAGCUGUUUUUUGAAAAGAUGUCGUAAUAAGUUGUUUUGCAUUAAUAAGUUGUUUUGAAUAAGCUGUUUUUUGAAAAUAGGUGAUAAUAAGCUGUUUUGGAUAAGUAAGCUGUUUAGAAUAAGUUGUUUUUGAAAUAUAGAUUGUAUUAAGCGAUUUUUGACUAAGCAGAUUUUGAAAAUGAGGUCAUAAUAAGCAGUUUUGUAUAAAUAAGUUGUUUUGAAUAAGCGGAGUUUGAAAAUGAGGUCGUAAUAAGCUGUUUUUAUAUAAAUAAGCUGUUUUGAAUAAGCUGUUUUUGAAAGAAAAAAAAUCGUAUUAAGCUGUUUUGCAUAAAUAAGUUGUUUUGAAUAAGCUAUUUUUUAAAAUGAAGUCAUAUUAAGCUGUUUUGUAUAAAUAAGUUGUUUUAAAUAAGCGAUUUUUGAAAUUGAGGUCGUAAUAAGCUGUUUUGUAUAAAUAAGCUGUUUUUGAAAAAGAGAUCGUAUUAAGCUGUUUUGCAUAAAUAAGCUGUUUUGAAUAAGCCGUUUUUGAAAAUGAGGUCGUAUUAAGCUGUUUUGCAUAAAUAAGCUGUUUUGAAUAAGCUAUUUUUUAAAAUGAAGUGAUAUUAAGCUGUUUUGUAUAAAUAAGUUGUUUUAAAGAAGCGAUUUUUGAAAUUGAGGUCGUAAUAAGUUGUUUUGUAUAAAUAAGCUGUUUUUGAAAAAGAGAUCGUAUUAAGCUGUUUUGCAUAAAUAAGCCGUUUUUGAAAAUGAGGUCGUAUUAAGUUGUUUUGCAUAAAUAAGUUGUUUUGAAUAAGCUAUUUUUUAAAAUGAAGUCAUAUUAAGCUGUUUUUUAUAUAAAUAAGUUGUUUUAAAUAAGCGAUUUUUGAAAUUGAGGUCGUAAUAAGCUGUUUUGUAUAAAUAAGCUGUUUUUGAAAAAGAGAUCGUAUUAAGCUGUUUUGCAUAAAUAAGCUGUUUUGAAUAAGCUGUUUUUCGAAAAAGAGAUCGUAUUAAGCUGUUUUGCAUAAAUAAGCUGUUUUGAAUAAGCUGUAUUUGAAAAUGAGGUCUAUUAAGGUGUUUUGCAUAAAUAAGCUGUUUUUGUAAAUGAGGUCGUAAUAAGCUGUUUUGUAUAAAUAAGUUGUUUUGAAUAAUCUGUUUUUGAAAAAGAUAUCGUAUUAAGCUGUUUUGCAUAAAUAAGUUGUUUUGAAUAUGUUGUUUUUAAAAAAAAUAUAUCGUAAUAAGCUGUUUUGUAUAAAUAAGCUGUUUUGAAUAAGCUGUUUUUGAAAAAGAGAUCGUAUUAAGCUGUUUUGCGUAAAUAAGCUGUUUUUGAAAAAGAGAUCGUAUUAAGCUGUUUUGCGUAAAUAAGCUGUUUUUGGAAAAGAGGUCGUAAUAAGCUGUUUUGUAUAAAUAAGAUGUUUCGAAUAAGCGGUUUUUGAAAAUGAGGUCGUAAUAAGCUUUUUAUAUAAAUAAGCAGUUUUGAAUAAGCUGUUUUUGAAAAAGAGAUCGUAUUAAGAUGUUUUGCAUAAAUAAGUUGUUUUGAAUAAGCUGUUUUUGAAAAUGAGGUCCUAUUAAGCUGUUUUGUAUAAAUAAGUUGUUUUCAAUAAGCUGUUUUUGAAAAUGAGGUCGUAAUAAGUUGUUUUGCAUAAAUAAGUUGUUUUGAAUAAGCUGUUUUUGAAAAUGAGGUCCUAUUAAGCUGUUUUGUAUAAAUAAGUUGUUUUGAAUAAGUUGUUUUUAAAAAAGAUUGUAAUAAUUUUAGUAAGGUCUAAAAUUGGAAUUUUGAAUUAUUAAGAGGGCAAAAUUGUCAAUUAGUAUGUUUAACCCCCCAAAACCCUCCAAUUUGGGGGAACUUUAAAAUUGGACAAAUUAAACCCUUCAAAACCCCCCAAAACCUUUCCCUUGUUUUUUUAAAACUUGCAAACAAGGGUUACCACUCCAUAAGCCUUUCCUUCCCUUCCCCUCCCCUUCAAAAUUCAACUCCCAAACAAAGCCUUACUAAAGGAAAGCACAACAACAACAAAAACACAAGGAAUUUCAACUCAUAAGAUCCUUUUUUUUAAGCCAACUAAGUACUUGCAGAAAGAAAGUGCUUCCCACUGCCAUUCCAGCAACAAGACCACCUCCAUACCCAAUAAGCACUAUUUUCCAAUCAAAUUCAAACAAUGAUCCUGAAUCCUCGUCAUCAUCAUCGUCAUCAGAGGUAGAAGGACCUCCAUGAUCUAUACACUUCUUCAACAACUGAUCCCCACACAGACCUUGAUUACCCUCAAAUGAAUCACCUUUGAACGUAGAAAACUGAUUAUUUUGUGGUAUAGGACCUGUGAGAUUGUUAAAGGACAAAUUUAAGAACUGCAAAAAGGUAAUUUGUGCCAACUGUUGGGGAAUUUUCCCUGAAAGACUGUUGACAGAAAGAUCUAGUGCUUCAAGGUUUGAAAGCUUCCCUAAGGAAGAUUGAAUGCUGCCAAUAAGGAGGUUAUUAGAGAAGUUGAGCAAAACAAGGCCCUUCAACUCGCCUAUGCCUUGUGGUAUUUCUCCACUGAUUUUGUUGCUUGAAAUAUCAAUGGCUAUUAAGUUGUAAAUUUUUUGAAGGUUAUUGUAAACCAUGGCCACCCCUUUGUUUGACAUUGUGAGCGAAUAAAACUUUUCUGUUGACGUAAAAUAUUGUCCUUCAUUGUUCGACGUCGAGUAAGACUCGUACUGUAAUUGACUUGCGUUGAAAGUAUUCAUUGCUUUCCAACUUUGGAUCAUUUCUGUUGGAAAACUUCCAGAGAACUGAUUGUGAGAAAGGUCAAUGAUGUGAAGUUUGG
This 10232-nucleotide long non-coding RNA is filed under the name Medicago truncatula (barrel medic). Its description in RNAcentral is "long non-coding RNA (MTRU_LNC004657)". Lineage: Eukaryota; Viridiplantae; Streptophyta; Magnoliopsida; Fabales; Fabaceae. The record is from RNAcentral.